AUUCCAGCUCCAAUAGCGUAUAUUAAAGUUGUUGCGGUUAAAAAGCUCGUAGUUGGAUUUCUGUUGAGGGCAGCCGGUCCGCACCUGGUGCGUGUAUCUGGUUUGGUCUCGGCAUCCUCUCAAAAUACGUUUCUGCGCUUGAUUGCGUGGGGCGGAGUUUGAGACUUUUACUUUGAGGAAAUUAGAGUGUUCACGGCAGGCAAUCGCCUUGAAUAUAUUAGCAUGGAAUAAUAAUAUAGGAUUUUGGUUCUAUUUUGUUGGUUUCUAGAGCUAGAAUAAUGAUUAAUAGGGACAAUUGGGGGCAUUCGUAUUAACACGUCAGAGGUGGAAUUCUUGGAUUGUGUUACGACGAACUACUGCGAAAGCAUUUGCCAAGGAUGUUUUCAUUA
RNAcentral lists this ribosomal RNA (389 nucleotides) under Syndiniales sp. Its description in RNAcentral is "partial small subunit ribosomal RNA". It matches the Rfam family "Eukaryotic small subunit ribosomal RNA", at positions 582 to 975 of the family's 1831-position model. The record is from RNAcentral. Lineage: Eukaryota; Dinophyceae; Syndiniales.